UACGUAGGGGGCAAGCGUUGUCCGGAUUUAUUGGGCGUAAAGAGCGUGUAGGCGGCCAGGUAGGUCCGCUGUGAAAACUCGAGGCUCAACCUCGAGAUGUCGGCGGAAACCAUCUGGCUAGAGUCCGGAAGAGGAGAAUGGAAUUCCCGGUGUAGCGGUGAAAUGCGCAGAUAUCGGGAAGAACACCCGUGGCGAAGGCGGUUCUCUGGACAGUUCCUGACGCUGAGGCACGAAGGCCAGGGGAGCAAACGGG
This 253-nucleotide ribosomal RNA is filed under the name uncultured bacterium. RNAcentral's name for it is "partial 16S ribosomal RNA". It matches the Rfam family "Bacterial small subunit ribosomal RNA", at positions 524 to 776 of the family's 1533-position model. The record is from RNAcentral.